AAGCAUGGUUGAAACAAGAUUUGCCAUGAGAAGUCAGCAGAUACCAUAUUAGCGACCUAAUCAACAAGGCCGUGAAGGGU
This 80-nucleotide non-coding RNA is filed under the name Anaerobacterium chartisolvens. Lineage: Bacteria; Bacillati; Bacillota; Clostridia; Eubacteriales; Oscillospiraceae. The record is from RNAcentral.